AUCCAUGAUCUCAGAAGUAUCAAUGAGGACUUGCUCCAACAUGCCUGCAAUGGAGGUAUCUCUUCUUUGAGUUUGGGGAACGAGAAGGGACGAAGAUGAGAGUCGCCGGCCAUCCAGCGGCCUCCGUGGCCUGCCUCGACUGUCCUGGGCCGACCUUGGAGUCUGAAGUGGGAAUACAAACGACCUCAAAUCACCUCUCACGAGGGUGUCAUUUGGGCGGCCUUUGCUUUCUGAUGCAGCCUUUGAUCUGCCCAGGCCUGAAGGUCAGGAAGCUCCAUUCCCUUUUCCAGAAGACAUUCUGUUGUUUCCUGGCCCCCUUUUUUUCAGGCUGACAGAAAGAGGCACUUUGUUCUUUCUAGCAUGCCACUUCGGACUGGAAAAGGGGCCUUGGGGAACAAAGAGGGCACUGGACAGGCACAGAGGGACGAAGCCUGGCUGCCACCUGGGCACUUGGGAUCGGAUCGGAUCGGAUCGGAUUCACAGAAGUGCCUGGCCAAGCUCCCAGCCUGGGGGUCCGGCUGUGGAAAUCUAAGCCCUGGGAGAGCCUGUCCAAUUCUCACAUUAACAGCUUCUAGGAGAGAGCCAAGGCUGGACUCAUUGUCACCCCCGCCCCUGGCACCAGGGCAUCCCCUUCACACACACAUUCACUUUGCAGCUCUGUUUCCCUCUGCCCCGUACACGUCCCCAUCCUCAUUAUCCAGCCAGCUGAGGCUCAGGGACAAAGAGCCUGGAAACUUUGCUUCCCCCCCUUCCAUUCUCACCUCCUCCGCCUUUCUGCAAAACUGUCCUGACAGAUCAUAUCCACAGUGGAAGGCAUCUUUCGCCUGCAGGGUUAGCUGAGGGUCCUGCAAUAGAUGGGUCCCAAUUUUUUGUUUGGGGUUUCCCCAGGAAAUAAUAAAAGCCCCUCUCCUCUGUAUUAAAUCA
This 924-nucleotide long non-coding RNA is filed under the name Monodelphis domestica (gray short-tailed opossum). RNAcentral describes it as "lncRNA (ENSMODG00000043032.1)". Lineage: Eukaryota; Metazoa; Chordata; Mammalia; Didelphimorphia; Didelphidae. The record is from RNAcentral.